This is a non-coding RNA of Capsicum annuum, 107 nucleotides long. Lineage: Eukaryota; Viridiplantae; Streptophyta; Magnoliopsida; Solanales; Solanaceae. The record is from Rfam.
UAUUGAUGGUGCGGGCAGUCCCUGAGUAGAGAUUUAAAACUCUCCCAAGCAUGAUAUACAUUUUAAUUUGGCUUCUACUUAAAGCUAAAAAUUUCACUUUUUAAUCU